GUGGAAUUCAGAAUUAUGAACCAAAAUGAGCAUGCUUGGCCACUGCACAUUUCUCAGCUCGGAGUUAGGGAAUUCAACAAUCACCCAAUUCGGGCAAUGUUCAGUUCGGACCAAAACAAGUCUAACUCUAUUGUCAACAUACCUGUAUUUUUACAGCAAUUCUUUGUACUGCAGUUUCACUCAUGUGUCUAUAUGUAUAAAAUUAAUGGAGACUCCUAAACAAUGUAUCCUGCUAUGUAAGCCCCUACUUGUUGUGGGUUUUGGUUGUCAUAAACACUCAAACUGAAAAUAAUGUGAACACCGGGAUUUGCUGAAUAGUUACAUAAACUCCAAUGGUAUCUCAUAAAUGUGAUUAGUAUUUGAUGCAUCACCAAUAUAUAUCUGUCGGCGCCACCGAGGAGGUAUUCCCUGCUUGGGGAAGUGUUCAAGGAAGACUGCAGGAUGAAUGGAGGACUGACUGGAGGUAGGUGUUACAUGAAGAGUAAUACCCAUGAAGAUUAAGAAAUAGCAGCACU
Molecule: non-coding RNA, 515 nt
Organism: Pelobates cultripes (western spadefoot toad)
Lineage: Eukaryota; Metazoa; Chordata; Amphibia; Anura; Pelobatidae
Source: the annotation of a GenBank genome assembly